This 76-nucleotide transfer RNA is filed under the name bacterium. RNAcentral describes it as "tRNA-Thr". It matches the Rfam family "tRNA". Rfam says of the family: Transfer RNA (tRNA) molecules are approximately 80 nucleotides in length. Their secondary structure includes four short double-helical elements and three loops (D, anti-codon, and T loops). Further hydrogen bonds mediate the characteristic L-shaped molecular structure. tRNAs have two regions of fundamental functional importance: the anti-codon, which is responsible for specific mRNA codon recognition, and the 3' end, to which the tRNAs corresponding amino acid is attached (by aminoacyl-tRNA synthetases). tRNAs cope with the degeneracy of the genetic code in two manners: having more than one tRNA (with a specific anti-codon) for a particular amino acid; and 'wobble' base-pairing, i.e. permitting non-standard base-pairing at the 3rd anti-codon position. The record is from RNAcentral.
GCCCACGUAGCUCAGUUGGUAGAGCACUCCCUUGGUAAGGGAGAGGUCACCGGUUCAAAUCCGGUCGCGGGCUCCA